Molecule: ribosomal RNA, 468 nt
Filed under: uncultured bacterium
Lineage: Bacteria
Description: partial 16S ribosomal RNA
Rfam family: Bacterial small subunit ribosomal RNA
Source: RNAcentral
GACGAACGCUGGCGGCGUGCUUAACACAUGCAAGUCGAACGGAAAGGCCCUGCUUUCGGGGUGCGCUCGUGUCGCGAACGGGUGUAAAACACGGGAGUUCCCUGCCCUAGACCUUGAUAUACCUUCAGGACACUGGGUAAAAUCCCGGAUAGGACCUCCUGAUGCAUGUGGGGGGUAGGAAUUUUUCGGCGGUUGGGGAUGGACUCGCGGCUUAUCAGCUUGUUGGGGGGGUAGGGGCUAACCAGGGCUUUGACGGCUGGCCGGCCUGAGUGGGGGACCGGCACCAUGGGAAUUGGGAUACGGCCCGGCCUCCUACGGGGGGCAGAAGUGGGGAAUAUUGCACAAUGGGCGGAAGCCGGAUGCAGCAACGCCGCGUGCGGGAUGACGGCUUUCGGGUGGUAAACCGUUUUCGCCUGUGACGAAGUGUGAGUGACGGUAAUGGGUAAAGAAGCACCGGCUAACUACGUG